RNAcentral lists this transfer RNA (63 nucleotides) under Sinochlora sinensis. RNAcentral describes it as "tRNA-Arg". The record is from RNAcentral. Lineage: Eukaryota; Metazoa; Arthropoda; Insecta; Orthoptera; Tettigoniidae.
AAAUAAGAAGCGAUUAAUUGCAUUCAGUUUCGACCUGACCCUAGGUGAUAACACCCUUAUUUU